GAUGUGGCCGCCAGCCCUACUCCUCCCCCUCGCAUCUCUAAUCUCUCGAGCGUCGCCGCUAGCCACCCAAGCCCCCUCCCCUCCCAUCGGCCACCAUCCCCGCCCCUCUUCUUCUUCUCCUCAUCGGCUUCCUCUCGCCCCUCCCUGGCAGUCUUCUUUCUCUUGCAUCUCCGGGAGGGGCGCAGGAGGAGUGGCGGGCCUCUUCUUGCCCCGCCGUAGUUCGUCAGGUGUUGUCCCUUUCGUUUCCGUAUGCCUUUCCUGAUUAAGAUGUGCGUUGUCUCCUGAUUCCAUCGGUGCAGCAAGCAGCUAGAAAGGGGGGAGAUCUUCCCUGGGAAGAUGCAUAUGUCAUUGCCAUUCCAUCAGGAGGAGAGCACCAUCAUCCAGCCGCCCAGGUUGCUCUCUCUCUCUGAUGUCGACUUGGUUUCCUCAUUUUUUAUAGAGUGUAAGUGGCCUCUACACUUGAGUCCAAGAAGGCUGACAGGGGAGGAUUUACUGUUGGCUGGGAGAGAUCAUCUGAUAUUUUCACACCACAUCUUCACAAGAUUGCAAGUGGCACACCGUUUUUUUGUUUAAUCUUGCUACUUCUUGAGCAUUCUGCCAUGUUUGUUCUUUUAGAGAACUUAUGAUUAUCAUGUCACAUCUAUGCUCUUGCUGGAAUGAUAUGUGGAGUUUGAAUUAGUAUACUUGCAUAGUUCAUUCAGUGUUAAAGUUAUAUCUACAGUCUCAAGAUUCAUUAAGGUUAACAUUCUCAGUGUCUGUCGCAUCACCUACUGGUAGUUGUUCCUAUUGUUGGCGUACUCUCAGAUAUAGAAAGGAUUUAAAGUUGUUCUCAACAUCCACAAGGUCAAUGACAUUUUCGAUGUAUCCCUGGAGAUGUUCCUCAAGAUGAUAUACAUGGGGAGGUGGACCUGGAGCAGACGCUGCCAAGGGAGCGGCUGAUGGAGGCAGUCUGGGAUCUGCAAGCUUUAAAUCAUGUGGCAUCAACAUUUGUUUGUUUAUACAACCCAUUAUAGAUUGAUAGUUGCUACCUUUUAGUAAACUAUGAAAAUUUGGUCAGCUUUAAUAGAAGCCACUUUGUUCAAUAGUGUCAUCGUACCACUGUGAUAUCUACUAAAAAAUACUUUCUGUUAUUUCUUAUGAUCGUUCAGUAAAGAAAGGAGAGUUUGAAUUGAUAUAAGUUGGAUGAGAUUAUGAUCCAGGUCAAAGGUUCUGUUAUUGACUAUAUAUGAUACAUGUGUUUAGUUGGUCCAUUAGUUGUCCUCCCGGUUGCCAUUGAAUAUAAUUUUGUUUUGUUUUUCUUUUGCUCAUGCCUAUUGCUCAAGCAUGAGUGAUAUCUUUGUGAUUCACUUCAGUUACAUUGAUUUUAAUGCAUGCCUUCCUUUUUAUUGUUAGUAAUGCAAGCUAUACUUGAAUUAAGUGAAAAAUAAUUCUCGAGCACUUUCUUCCAUUGUGUACGUGGAUUCUUUAUUGUCAUUGAUUAACAAAGGGAAAAUCAAAUGCAAUAGAUGUUUAGAAAAUAAUUUUCAGAGUAGGAUUUUUUUAGUACUGUAUGCUUUGCUUAUCAAAUUGCAAUUGUUUAUGGUGCCUUUUUAUAAUACAUGUUUCUGAAAUCUGAUCUCUUUGUGCUGAAUUAGUUGUUGUGGUCACAAGUUAAUCUUUUUGCAUGUCUUCACUGAAGGAGGCUUGCGGGUUUAUCUUAAGCAUCUUAUCUUCAACAAUGGCCAACAUUAACUAUUCAGUUAGGCACCCAGUAGGGGUUUACCUAUCGUUGUAUCAAAGAGCUUACUAUUUCCAUUUGCUCAGCAAAGUUUUAAGAUAUUCCAUCAUAAUUAUCUAAUUGUAAUGCUUUUAUGAUGCAGGACUAAUAUCUUGUGAUGUGGCUUCCUUGUAUCCCAUUUGCCCUGCUGCUCCUGAAAGAGAUACCAUUUUGUUGGUGUUUACUGGUUAAUCCUUUUGCAUAUGUUUACGGAUGGAUACCAUUUUGUUGGUGUUUACUGGUUAAUCCUUUUUGGAUGUGCGCGAGUUGGUGUUCAUGUCCCUCAAGAAGAUACAUAAAACAAAGAGCACACACCUGGUCUUUGCAUGGCUAGGUUGCACAUAUUGAACACCAACUCGCGCACAUCCAAAAACACGCCAGCAACUAGCAAAGUCUUGCAACACCAAAAUUGUGUGUAGGCGAGAAAUAAAUGAAAAGCUCCAAAGCGAUUAGAUCUACUGGAAAAUAAUUGAAUCGGGCUUCCGCCAACAGUCCUGGAACGGAUGGACUACAUCGAAAAGAAAACACGCGGUUUCGAUUUUGCGUGUAGAGUUUUAGUAUUUUUUUUGGGUGUGUCUAGGGCACAUCUAGAUGUGCUCUAAUUAUUGCACAUCUAAGUGAGUGACUCAAGCAUAAAAAAGAAAAGAAACAGGAAAAAGAAAA
Molecule: long non-coding RNA, 2419 nt
Organism: Aegilops tauschii subsp. strangulata
Lineage: Eukaryota; Viridiplantae; Streptophyta; Magnoliopsida; Poales; Poaceae
Source: RefSeq, a predicted model, not a curated record